CAGUAGCCGCGGUAAUACGAAGGGUGCAAGCGUUAAUCGGAAUUACUGGGCGUAAAGCGUGCGUAGGCGGUGAGUUAAGUCUGCUGUGAAAUCCCCGGGCUCAACCUGGGAAUGGCAGUGGAUACUGGCUCGCUAGAGUGUGUCAGAGGAUGGUGGAAUUCCCGGUGUAGCGGUGAAAUGCGUAGAGAUCGGGAGGAACAUCAGUGGCGAAGGCGGCCAUCUGGGACAACACUGACGCUGAGGCACGAAAGCGUGGGGAGCAAACCGGAUUAGAUACCCCUGUAGUCCCUGUCUCUUAUAC
Molecule: ribosomal RNA, 301 nt
Filed under: uncultured bacterium
Lineage: Bacteria
Description: partial 16S ribosomal RNA
Rfam family: Bacterial small subunit ribosomal RNA
Source: RNAcentral